Molecule: non-coding RNA, 1136 nt
Organism: Malus domestica (apple)
Lineage: Eukaryota; Viridiplantae; Streptophyta; Magnoliopsida; Rosales; Rosaceae
Source: RefSeq, a predicted model, not a curated record
CUCAACAAAAUGGGCCCUAUUUUUCAGUUAACUUGGAGAAAGAAAGACAAGGCCCUGACUUGUAAGGCCCAAUACCUCCUCAAACGUCAGGCGUUCCCUCUGAUAAACGCGGUGGUCGAAUUCCUUCCCGCGGUUGCGUCGAUACUCUUGAGCCGCCGUCGAGGCGCAUUUGCCCAUCUGCUGUCCCUUCAGCUUAAUCAUGGUCCGAGCAACAUUUCCCUUCAGCUUAAUCAUGGUCUGGCAGCUCAUGAAUUUCUAUAUCUUCUACCAUCCAGGUGACCUUUACUGUCAUGAUUCUUCAUGGCUGAUACACAGAUCAAAUGGCUAAAUAAUUGGUAUCGGAUAUUGAACACCCUCUCUGGCGUUAUUCUCUUCUUUUGUUUCUCCCAGCUUUGGCAUUAGACACUUAUAUCACGAGAGAUACGGAACACACUUUCAUAUUGGUGAACGGUACUGACAGAGCCAAAUUAUCUUGACCCAGUCCAAAACAACACCAGACAGACCCAGCCAAAGGUCCCUUAAUUCGCAAUCUUUGUCCUAAGCUCACAUCAACAACUAGGAUUACAAAUUACAGAUUAUUAACAUGGACCCUAGAUACACUGGAGAGAUUUUGAAGCAUUUGGAGAAGCAAAACGAGCUCCUCACGGAAGCAAAAAUAUCAAUGUCUGAGGAAUUGCACCAACUGAAGGUCGAAGAAGAAAUGCUGAUGCGUAAGUUUUAUGAGAUAAUGUCAGCUCAUGGUAAACUUAAAAAGAAUGAAGGUUGUGGUACAGUUUCAGAUGACGGUGAAAUUGGACGAGGACCGUUGAUGACUUCAAAUUCUGUUUUCACAUUGUCGAAUGAAUGUGUAUGUAGUAUUGAAUAGUGUACCUCCUUUUACUACUUAAGCCAAGUUUCGAUCAACGUUAUGUUGUCAAACGGAUCAAAUAGUUGCGGAGCGUGAAUUCUAUGAGAUAAAUGCCGCAUUAGGGUUUCAAGAUCCGAAAAUUUUUGCAUCACACCAAUGAUGCUGGAUUCUGCAUCUGUAAAUUGUAGAGUUACACUUUCUUGUUUAGAUCAAUUGUUUGAUGCGAUAAUAUACUCUAUCUUUCAGCAGCACCACUUUUAUUCAAUGUGCUUCCAGGCUGCUUAUUACA